CAUUGCCAUCCAACCCCCCUUAGUUGCCUCAAAUAGGUUGAUUCCCUUCCCCUUUUAUGAGUCAAACUUGCCUUAAGUUGGGAACCAUGAUCCCCUUUUAUGCUCCUAUGUUCCAUCUCUUUCUCUUUCAUUUCUUUCUUGCCUUUCGCUAUGAUUCAAUGAACCUAGUCACUGUUGACCAAAUUACACACACCCAUUGCAGUCCCUACCUCCCUCAUUUCUCCCAUAUUCUUUUUUUUUUUCACUUUCAUGCAUCUCCAUUUUCUCUCCAUUUGAAAAAAGACACACCUUCUCUUUUCUUUAAUUUUUAAUUUUUCACCACCACAACAAACCCUUGUACCACCAUCAAGUGUCCUUUUAGCCACCUUUAGCACCGCCCCUCUAGC
RNAcentral lists this long non-coding RNA (386 nucleotides) under Gossypium raimondii (Peruvian cotton). Its description in RNAcentral is "long non-coding RNA (GRAI_LNC002706)". Lineage: Eukaryota; Viridiplantae; Streptophyta; Magnoliopsida; Malvales; Malvaceae. The record is from RNAcentral.